Molecule: long non-coding RNA, 20344 nt
Filed under: Trifolium pratense (red clover)
Lineage: Eukaryota; Viridiplantae; Streptophyta; Magnoliopsida; Fabales; Fabaceae
Description: long non-coding RNA (TPRA_LNC005784)
Source: RNAcentral
AAGCAACAGACAACAAUACACUUGUAUACAAGAACCAUGGAACUCCACCACCAGAUAUUUGAUCAAACAAACCCUGUCCUUUUGCUAACUCCACCCCAAUUGCAGCUACAAAACCAAUCAUAGCCAAUCUUCCAUUGAUCCUUUCAGGUGCUGGCCCACUAAAAGCCAUCAAAUCCGUAAACUUUGUGCUUAUCUGCCAUUAUAUAAUAAUCAUCAUUAUUCAUCAAAAGCGUUUCAUAAAUAUUGAUCAAAAUUAGUAACACUUUAGAUAACUAAACUUGCACACUGUCAUAACUUUUUAUUACUAACUAUGCUCACCUUUGGUGAACGAGUAGAGGCUGCUGAUGGUGGUGUAAUUGGGUCUACAGACAAUUUCGGUUGCUCUUUCUUCUGUUCCUGAACAAUGUAAUGAAACAUUAUUAUCAAUUAAAGUGACAUAAAUGACUAUUUUAGCUCGUGGACAUAUUUCAUAUUGUCUCUGGUACUGUUAUAAACAAAAAACCACUAGAUACAUCUGUUUUUCAAUGAAAUAUAUUCCGUACAUAAUUUUUCAAUGAAUCUAGUUUUUCCAUGAGAAAGUAAGUCAUAAAUCAUAAACAUGUUUCAUAUGAUUGGUGUUCCAAGUAAACAAAUAAGAUAUGCAUGAACAAAUAUAAUACACAUAACCUUAAAAUCUGUUUGAUAAAAGCUUAAUUACCUCAGCCAUGGAUCUAACUUUGAGGCUAGCAUUUCUUCUCAAGCUAGGCAUGUACACAGAAGGAAUGUUGUUAAAUUUGUUAACUCUAGAAAUGUUGAUCAUAGAGCUUGACAUGAUAGAUUGAUAAGAUGAAACGGCCAUUGGUAUUGAUAGUAAUUUCUUAAUGUUACAAUGAAAAUUCAAGAGACUAAAAGUCUUUGAUCACUGAAAUUUUUCACUAGAACUUAGAUGGUUAAGGUUGGUAGGUAUAUGCAUUGAAGAAGGUUGUUUAUAUAGAAUAAAAUGGAAAGCAUUAUGAGGGAAAUUUUGAUUCCACGUAGUGUGUAAACUUAUUGAAAGGAAAGAAUUGUGGUGGAUAUUUAAGUUCCACGUAAUGUGUAAAUGGGUCCUAAAGGUAAUUGGUUCACGUGGGUUCAUUUGUCCACACAUGCUAAAAGCAAUAGAUGUGGCACUACUUAGGACCGGAAGGUGCUACAAAGUGAGAAUUUAAGGUUAUAACUUAUAACUCAUAAGAGGGGAGGGGUUGUCCACUUGGAAGGUACAUGGUAUUGAAUUGUAAAAUAUUGUCUAAUGUCUAAUAAUAAGGUAAUAAAAUAAUGUUAGUUUAUUUGGUUUUAAGUAUAUUAUAUAUGUAAAUUUAUUUAAUUAAAAGUUGUUUGAAAAAUAGAGUAUGAAAUAUUUGUAUGAAAGAAUGAUAGUUUGAAAAAUUGAUAGUAAUAUACCAAAAAAUCACAGCAGAGAAUACACAAGAUUAAUAUAUUUUUUUUAAAAAAAAUAAAUAUCAUUAUAAAUCGAUCAACCAAAUCAAAAUGAGUUCGUUCAUUUUUAAAGAACAGUAAAAACCAAACCAAAUUGAACAAAUAAAAAUUAGACCGGUUCAAACAUUUUUUUAACAAAAAAUUGUCCAAAUUGAACCGAUUAUACUUCUAGUCUUCCGGGUCAGUUCUGACAUUUUUCUAUGCCUAGAUCAAAUUGAAUAUUGGAUAAAUCACACACAAUUGAUUUUCUUUCUCUCAUUUUCAUAAAUUAAAUAUCUAAAACUGUAAAAAAAAAGGCCGGUCUCAAAAAAGCUAGAGUAAAUACAAUCGGCCUUUUUGGCGUAACCCAUACGAAAAUUGGAAUGGGUUGGGCGAGCUCAUUGGGCUUAGGUAUCAACAUUUUUAUGUGAUUUUUUGCAAAAAAUACUAUUAAAAAAACAUAAACAAUGAUGGUCUAAUUGUAAAAUUAUUAAUAAAAAUAUAUUUAAAGGGAUAAAUUUAGCAAAAACUUUUCAAAAAUUUAAGUUUAAAAUUAUUAAUAUGUAUCAUAACCAAAUAAUAAAUGGGCCCAUUUAUGUAGUCGGACCCCUGGGUCGGACAACCCAUUUGACAACUCAAAAUUUUACUUCAGUCAUGCAUUUUAAUCACAAAUAACACCAACCAUAUAUAUACACGAUAUUUACCAAUAUAUCUUAUAAAUCGUGCAAUUCUUUAUCUCAUUUUUUCAUGUAUUAAUUAUGACUAUUGAAGUCAUGCAUGUUAGUGAGAAUAAAUAUUAUAUAUAAUUGAAAUAUAAAGUGGUUUUAAAUUUUAAUCCUCAUUAAUUUAUUUUAUUUUUACAAAACUUCUAUUACAUUUAUGCAUUUGUUAUCUAUCAAAUAACUUAAUAUAUUUGAUUAAUCAAAUAAAAUUUUGUAAGGUUCUAUUAUUUUAUUGAAAAUCUAUUACUUAUUUGUUUUGUUUUUCACUGAUUUUCAUUUAUUAUAUUGUGCUUUUUUUAUUUGAGGUGCUAACUUUGUGGUAUGAGUUUAUCCUUGUAGCCUUGUAGGUGAGUUCAAAUCAUGGGAUGGUUGUAAUUAAAAUAGUCAUUAGUGUCAUUGAUUAAUAAAAAUUAUCCUUCACAAAUUAAAAAGAAUAUAUUCUUUUGUAUUUUCUUCUCUUCCUUUCUUUUUAUACAUGUGUGCAUACAAAUAAAAGAUAUUUUUAAAAACACACUAGUACAAAAAAUUUUACCCCUUUCAUUAUUUAUUUUUUAAGAGUUUAAUUGUUGUGUAUCGUCGGUGUAAAGAUUUUUUAUACAUACAUCCAAUGAUGCAUUGCCACAUCAUUUAAUGAAUGUGACACAUCAUGUGUUUUUAAUUACCAUACAUGAUGUGUCGGUAUAUUAUUGGACCCAUGUGUAAAAUAACUUUACAUGUAUAUAAAUUAGAUUCAAUUUUUAAAAGGUUGUCCCUUUAACUAAUAAUACAUUCUAUUAUAAAAAGGUUGUCUUUCUAAAUAUUUAUAUAUAUUACAUGUAUUACUAUAAAUCACUGUUGCUUAUUAUAAAAAAAAAUAAAAAAAUCAUUGGUGCCUUUUAAUUAUGUAUUACUCCCUAUUUUAUUAUAUAUAUAUAUUACUCCCUCCGUAAUCUUUGGUUCUUUUAGAAUUUUGCACAUAGCAACAAUUUUUGGAUCUACUUCUGGCAUAGCAAAUGCAAGUAUCAUUGGUUUUGUCUUAGAAGAUGGGAGGACAACAAAUUUCUUGAGAAAGAAUUCUCUCCCAUAAAUUUAUGGUGAAGUGGAGCAUGGAACCUUGAUUUGAAAUUAAAAAAAGAAAACAAAAGAAAAAAGAAAUGUGUUGUUUUAAGGAUGUAGAUCACCAUUGCUCCCUGUGCAGUGAGAUUUAAAAUUGAGAGAAUCUCCCCUCUAACUUUUUUAGCAUUAAGGCAAGUCAUAAGCCAAGCGUAGGAGUCAUACAUGAAUAAUAUAAAUGUGUACACCGAGACAAAAGUGCUCAAAUAAUCAUUGAUGUCUUUAAAUGCAUUGUAGUUUUUAAAAUUGUGCAAAAUAACCCAAAUGCCUUGUAGUUUUUAAAAAUUAUGCAAAAUAACUCAUCUCGCGCCGUUGCAAUCACAGGAUGUAUAUUUGAUAUUUCUUAAUUCAAAUGUUUUUCUAUUAUCAUAUAAUUGAGUCAAAUUUACUCGUUAUUAUGCAAAGUUAAAAGUUAAUAAGACAAUAACACUUAUCUUCGAUUUUUGUCAACAAAAAAGAAAACAAAAACUUAUAUUGGAUAUACCAAAUGUCACUAUUACAAUUUGCAUAUAUGAUCAAAUCUUAUUAUGAAAUUUCAUAAGAAUAUACAUGAAGUUUCAUAAUUGGCUUCUAACGACAAAUCCUAUAGACUUUAAUCGUGUCUCUAAAAAACUGUAUUACACAAGGGAGGUACCCUUAACAUACUCUGUAAAAGCCAGAGCAAUCAAACCCAACAUAGCAAUUCUUCCAUUCCACAACUCUGCAUCUGAGGACAUGACAGCUUUUGACUUAGACUCGACACUAACACCUUGGAAAAAUGGAAUCAAUGAAGCAAGUGAUAACACCACACUUGUUCCCAAGAACCAUGGAACUCCACCACCAGAUAAUUGUUCAAACAAACCCUGUCCUUUUGCUAUCUCCACCCCCAUUGCAGCUACAAAACCAAUCAUAGCCAACCUUCCAUUGAUUCUUUCCGGUGCUGGCCCACUAAAAGCCAUCAAAUCCGAAAACUUUGUGCUCAUCUGUCAUUUUAUAAUGAUCAUUAUUAAUCAAAUCAAAAGGGCCUCAUUAAUUUUUAUCAAAAUCAAAACUUUACAUAACUAAUCUUCUAGCACACAAUUAGGAAAAAAACGAAGGUGAAAUUAUUUUUACUACCAUGCUCACCUUUGGUGAACGAGUAUAGGCUGGUUGUGGUGUCGGUGUAACCGGUGUUGGUGUAAUUGGAUCUACAGGCACCUUUGGUUGCUCUUUCUGUUGUUCCUCAGCCAUGGAACGAACUUUGAGGCUAGCAUUCCUUCUGAUGUUUGGCAUGUACACAGAAGGGAUGUUGCUAAAUUGGUUAACUCUAGACCUGCUAGAAAUGUUGAUCAUAGAGCUUGACAUGAUAGAUUGAUAAGAUGAAACAGCCAUUGAUAAUAGUCCCUUAAUGUUACAAUGCUAAGCUUAAGAGAUUAAAGUUUUUUGAAGAAUGGGAUAGCUUUGUGAAUCUCACUGAACUUAGAUGGUUAAGAUUGGUAGGUAUAUGCAUUAAAGAAGGUUGUUUAUAUAGAAUAAAAUGGAAAGCAUUGUGAGGGAAAUUUUGAUUCCACGUAGUGUCUAAAGGUAAGUAUUUUGGUGGUUAUUUAAGUUCCACGUAAUGUGUAAAUGGGUCCUAAAGGUUAUUGGUUCACGUGGGUUCACUUGUCCACACAUGCUAAAAGCAACGGACGUGGCUCUAGUUAGGACAAGAAGUUGCUACAUACAUUGAGAAUUUGAGGUGUUAAUUAAGAAUAUAUUUUUUUGGUUACAUGUGCUAAUUAAGGGUUUGUUUGGUCGGAAGGAAAAUAUGGAAACUGAAAAAUAAAUAUGGAUUAAAUCGUAGUUUAAGUUUAUUUUUUGCAAAUCCAAACAAACAAUGAAACAUAACUAUUUACCGCUCGAUUAGAUUCCUUUCUAGCAAUUCAAACAUAACUUUUGCCUUUUGUUACCUUACUCAUAGGUGAUAGUUGUUUUAUAGCCAACAAUAUAAUACUACUUCCCUCUUUAAAUAUAAAAUUCUAAAGACUAAUUUAAAAAAUAAAAAAGCUGGUAGUAGUGUUAAACUUAAUGUAAUGUGAACAAUUGGGCUAAUUACAUCAAAACUAGUGAUGGCUCAUAUAUUGUAAUUAUGACUCUGUUAUGUAGUAAAAGGCAGAACCAUUCUGUUAUGUUUAGUAUUUAAAAGCUUAAAUAAGGCAUAAUCUUGCAAGAUUUGUUUGAAUGAACCAUAUGAACCUUGAAUUACAUGAUAUGUUUCUCAUUACAUGUUGGAUAGAUGUCAAAAGUCACGAAUCUAAUAUUGUAUACUCUAUCAUCUUGAUUCUUCAUCCAAUUGAACAUUUACUUGGGUGCGUUUUGGAUAUUGUGGUGUGGUGAUAGAAUGAGCAUAACUCAGGAUUGAACUAUAACCCUUUGUUUCUGUCAAAGUGAUUAGUAUCAUGAGUUGAACACUUGGUUUUUUUAAUUCAAAAUAGUUGUUUUUGUUUCAUUAAAACUUCCAAAUCAAGAUAGUGAUAUACAAGUGUGUGAACAAUCAUGCUAAAGGUAUUAUUACAUUGAUAUAGCAGAAGCCAUAACAUUUCCAUACAAAAACUGCCAAAUUUGAAAUCAUAAUAGAACAGAGUCACAGACUAAAGUUUGAACUAAAUCCCAUUUAUUUAUACUAUCAUACCCAUAACCAAACAGUCAAGGGUGAGCACUCCACACUGCAGUCAAGGGUGAUCUUAACAAAUAAUAGUUUUAGUGGACAACUUACUUCCUCAUUGAAGAAUUGCUCGGACAAGCUGACUUUUUUGGACCUCGGAGAAAAUAAGUUUGAUGAUCCAUUACCUUCAUGGAUUGGAGACAAUUUACAACAGAGAAAUUUUUUACACGUUGAGAAAUUCUCUCUUGUAAAUUGUUUCCAACCCAUGAAGGUAAUGGACCAUCAAACUAAUUUUCUCCGAGGUCCAAAAAAGCCAGCUUGUCUGAGCAAUUCUUCGACGAGGAAGUAAGUUGUCCACCAAAACUAUUAUUUGUUAAAAUCACCCUUGACAGCAGUGUGGAGUCCUCACCUUUGACUGUUUGGUUAUGGGUAUGAUAGUAUGAAUAAAUGGGAUUUAGAUAAAACUUUAGAGUGGAGUCCAGAUUGUCAUUGAUUCUUUCAUAGAAAAGCUUGUUCUUUUCCAAUUCUUCUCCUGUGAACCUUGGAUGCAUAGCCUGUUAUAGAUACAGGAAAAAAAAUCAGUAGAAAAUCACUGCAAGAAAGGUAGUAAUUCAGUGAUAUCUAUGGCUUUUUUUCCCUUAGCAGAGAUGUGAUUCAACAAAUUGUCCAAAAUUCCUCUCAAAAAUGUAAUUUUGACGGAUCAUUUUUAAGAAAAUUUCCAAAUUCAUGCAAACAUAAAACUGUACUACUUGUAACUAGCUGCAUACCAGCAAGCUCUGACUAGGCAAAGCCUCUACAACUGACUUUGCUGCGAAAAAGCCACGGCCAAGAGGGCUGUAUGCCACUAUUCCGAUGCCAAAUUCUCUGCAAGUACAGAAAGCUUCUUAGUCACAGUAAAAACAAUUUCAGAUACAACUGGAGUAUAAUUGUAACUAGUGCUUUGAGCAGAAUUUUUUUUUUCAAUAUCUAUACCUGCAGAGUGGAAUUAUUUCUUCUUCGAUGUCACGGGACCAUAAGGAAUACUCCAUUUCCGAAGCAGUAAUACGAUGGACUGCAUUUGCUCUCUUUAUAGUGUCAGCAUUAGCCUCUGAUAGCCAUAGCCCAAUCGGAACUGAAGUGUCAACUCGGUGUUGAUAAUAUAAAUCAAUAUACUUAACACCAAGCCGUUUGAGACUAGCUUCACAACACUCCCUCUAAUAUUCAGGGGUACCGUUUACUCCAAAAACCAACCCAUCAGACAUAGUAAUACCAAACUUCGUAGUCAACUAGACUUUUUCGCGUGGAAGUUCUUUUAAUGCCUAUGACACGAGAAAAAAGUCACUUAUAAGUUUGAACAUCCAUCUUCAUGUGACAGGGGAGCAUAGUAAAUUCUUGAUAAAUCCUCCACAAAUAUUAAAAACUAUUUUGUAACAGUGAUUAGUAACACGACACUAAUCAUUAGUUAGAAUAAAAACUACGCCUUCACUGGUGUCAAUGUCUACGUAUCAGUGUCGUGUUAGACAGUAAUAAAAUCUAUCUCCACUUUUAAAUUUAACCUUAACAUGUCAAGGCCAGAAACUAUUUUAACCCCAAAGCCUUAUGAAACUGUUCUCUUUUUGGUAAAAAUGAUUACAAUUUGCAUUUCAUAGACAUAAUUAUAAAUUUUCAACCCCUAAUUUUAAAUUAAAAUAAAAUAUCAAGUAAUUGUUGGAAAAUACUUUACCUUUCCUUUCAUUUUUUUUAUCAUGCCCAUAGACAUCUAAUCUGAUGAAGAUGAAAAAUGGCAACACACCACCAUUCAAUACUUGCUUAAUAUAAUGGAAAAUCCAUCAUCAUGGUAUCAAGAAAGACUACAAUUACUUAAUUUCAACUCUUCAAGAAUUUCCUAAGGAAGCUUCCAAUCCUUGAAGAGUUUUUUUUUUUUUGUCAAUAUCACGCGAAAGUUAUGAUAGAAAAGCNNNNNNNNNNNNNNNNNNNNNNNNNNNNNNNNNNNNNNNNNNNNNNNNNNNNNNNNNNNNNNNNNNNNNNNNNNNNNNNNNNNNNNNNNNNNNNNNNNNNNNNNNNNNNNNNNNNNNNNNNNNNNNNNNNNNNNNNNNNNNNNNNNNNNNNNNNNNNNNNNNNNNNNNNNNNNNNNNNNNNNNNNNNNNAAUUGAGAUUUGAGAACAACACCGACAAUACAUAGUAUAUAAGAAUAUUAAAGUUUCUCAUUGUAAUAUUUCUCGCAAAAUAAAAUUGAGUUUCUCUAAUGGAAAAUAUACUUUCAGGAACACAGGCAUACAUAUAUAUAUAGUGCUUGAGGUCGAUAUCACGCGAAGUUUCCUAGUUGUUUCCUGCUUUUCAAUUUUUUGACGACAUUGUACAAUUAUUUCCAAAGGCACAUUGCACAAUUUCCAUCAAAUUUUGAAAAAUGAUCCUUUCAUAUCCAAAUAUAGAAAAUAUCUGCUUUUAUUUAAAAAAAAAUGUUGUGACUAAAUUUGGAAUGAAUAGUUGGGUUUAUGAUUUCGACAUGUUUGGCAUCUUUAUUUGUCUCUUGAGUAUUAGACUAUUAGUAGUUUAGUAUAAAAAGGAUGAAUAAAUAUAUUUCUAGUCUCUAUAAAAGAUUUAGGUAAGUUUUAUUCCUCAAAUAUUUUCUGUCAUGAUUUUUUAUUUCUACUUUUCAGUCAAAUCAUUUUUAUUAUUCAAACAAAAAAAAAACGAAAGUACACAGCAGUUUGAUUAAAAAUAAGGACCAAAAGUUAUGAUAGAAAAUAUUUAACGGACCAAAAGUUGAUCGAAAAUUUUUUAGAAACUAAAAAUAAAAUUCGAAAUAUUUAUAGGGACUAAAAACUUAUUUAACCCAAAAAAAUGAUAUUGGAAUUUGUAUAUUUAAUACUUCAAAAAUUAAAAAAAAAAAAAAUCUUUUUAACAUUAUUGUUGUCUUUAAUUUCUCCUAUGCUUAACAAAUACUCCGGAAAUACCGUUUAGUUAGCAUAACCCUGUUCUUAAGACCAUGUUUUUGCUCUAGCUGCUAAGUUGUUUUCUUGCCUAAUCACAUGAACCGGGACCAAGUAUAGUCUUCCUUUAAUUAACAUGCUAUAAACAGUAUGCCUAACUUCUAAGAAUUGAACCGGGACCAAGUAUGCCUAAUUUUGAUAGUCAUGCCGAAUUCUAACAUGCACAAGUACUAGUUAGGACAAGAAGGUGCUACAUUGAGAAUUUGAGGUGUUAAUUAGGUGUGUUUGGUUUUGUGAAAAAACAAUGAAAGGAAAAAAAAACGGAAACCGAAUGAACUUGGACUACUCACUUGGACUAGAGUAGUCCAAAUUCAUCAAUCAGUUUUCGUAAUUUUUUUCAGUCAUAAUUUUUUCCGGUCGUGAUUUUUUGUCCUACUUUACAUUAUUGUUGUCUUUAAUUUCUUCUUUUGAUAUGCUUAAGAUACCAUUUAGCAUAACCCUUGUUCUUUAAGAGUUAAGAGUAAGACUAUGUUUUUGCUCUAGCUGCUAAGUUGUUUUCUUGCCUAAUCACAUGAACUUUUAAGACCAUGUUUGCUUUCUGCCUAAUCACAUGAACUUUUAAGACCAUGCUUUUGCUCUAGCUAGCUGCUAAGUUGCUUUCUUGCCUAACCACGUGAACUGGGACCAAGUAUAGUCUUGCAUUAAUUAAGAUGCUAUAAUAUAGAGAGUUGAUCGGAGUUACCACCAAGUAUAGUCUUACACCUUACCAGUUUGCGGUAACGGACAAACGACCACUAAUCAAUGCCGCUAAUAGUAUCAUGAAACUAAAUAAGAGAUUGAAAUCGAUAGUUCAAUGAUGAUUGACGCUGAACUUGAAAGGAAUAAACGCGGUUCGAUCCCCCGCAACUGUGAUCGGGAGUGGGUUGGAACCACUUGAUGCUAGAAAUGACUCUCGAACCAAAUUAAACUGGUGGUGAAAAAAUAAAAUAAAAUAAGAGAUUAAAAGAAGAAAAAACCUAAUUUAAACACAUAAUUUUUAGGGUAAAUGAUCAUUUACCCCCCUACAAAAUAAGCAAAUUUUCGUUCACCCCUUGCUCAUAUUUUUUUUUUCUGUUUAUCCCCGCAAAAAAUAAAUUCCCUCAUUUAUCCCCCUAGAUGUACAGCAUGACAUCUGAUUGUGCAAAUCUACUGACGUGUCUUUUAUACAUGAAAAAAAAUUCAUUUAUAUUUAAUUUUAAAAUUCCACGUCAUCUAUUAAAAAAUUGAAAAAAUUAUUUAUGGGAGUAAAGUUUAAUAAAACUUUAUAAAUGUUUAAUAAACUUAUAGGAGUAAAGUUUGUAGAAUAAAAAAAUAUCAAGUUUUGUUUUGAAAAUAAUUUUUUCAAUUUUUUUUAAUAGAUAAUGUGAAAUUUUAAAAUUAAAUAUAAAUGAAUUUUUUUCCACGUGUACAAGCAACGUCAGCAGAUUUGUCCACCGAUGUCCUGUUGUACAAUUAGGGAGACAAAUGAAGAAAUCUAUCUUUUGCAGGGGAUAAACGAAAAUUCGAUUAUUUUGCAGGGGGUAGAAGAUCAUUUACCCUAAUAUUUAUGUAGAAAAUUCUCAACAAAUAAGGGAAAGGCCAUAGGGCAAAAUUAGAAGAAAUUAGAGAAUCUCUUUAUAAGUAUAUAUGGAGAGAACAAUUACACUGUCUUUUGAAAAUAUGCAGAAGGUUUCAUGCAAUGGCUUCUAACUACAAAUCUAUAGACUUUAAUCAUGUCUCUAAAAAACUGUAUUACACAAGGGAGGUACCCUUAACAUACUCUGUAAAAGCCAGAGCAAUCAAACCCAACAUAGCAAUUCUUCCAUUCCAAAGCUCUGCAUCUGAAGACAUGACAUCUUUUGACUUAGAUUCAACACUAACACCUUGGAAAAAUGGAAUCAAUGAAGCAAGUGACAACACUACACUUGUCCCCAAGAACCAAGGAACUCCACCACCAGAUAUUUGUUCAAACAAACCCUGUCCUUUUGCUAUUUCCACCCCCAUUGCAGCUACAAAACCAAUCAUAGCCAAUCUUCCAUUGAUUCUUUCAGGUGCUGGCCCACCAAAAGCCAUCAAGUCCAAAAAUUUUGUGCUCAUCUGCCAUUAUAUAAUCAUCAUUAUUCAUCAAAAGGGUCUCAUUAAUUUUGAUCAAAAUCAAAACUUUACAUAACUAAUCUUCUAGCAUAUAAUUCUGAAAAGAAAAAAAAAAAAACAAAGUUGAAAUUGUUUUUACUGCUAUGAUCACCUUUGGUGAACGAGUAUAGACCGGUUGUGGUGUUGGUGUAAUUGGAUCAACGGACACCUUUGGUUGCUCUUUCUGCUCUUCCUGAAUAAUGUAAUAAGUAAUUAGCAUUAGUAACCAAUUAAUCAUUUCAUAAAUUAAUCUUUAACAUGUUUCAUAUGAUACUAUAUCGACUUAAAAUUCCAAAAGUCUUAUAUAUAUAAGAUAAUUACACAUGAACAAAAAUUAAAUAGAAAACAAGUUGCUCGCUUAAAAUUUGUUUAAUAAAACCUUACCUCAGCCAUGGAACGAACUUUGAGGCUAGCAUUCCUUCUGAUGUUUGGCAUGUACACAGAAGGGGUGUUGCUAAAUUGGUUAACUCUAGACCUGCUAGAAAUGUUCGUCAUGGAGCUUGACAUGAUAGAUUGAUAAGAUGAAACAGCCAUUGAAAAUAAUUCCUUAAUGUAACACUGAAAAUUCAAGAGACCAAAGUCUUUUAUGAGUAUAUAAAAGACUUAGAUGGUUAAGGUUGGUAGGUAUAUGCAUUGAAGAAGGUUGUUUAUAUAGAAUAAAAUGGAAAGCAUUGUGAGGGACAUUUGAAUAUAUAUCCACGUAGUGUGUAAAGGUAAGUAUUUUGGUAGUUAUUUAAGUUCCACGUAAUGUGUAAAUGGGUCCUAAAGGUUAUUGGUUCACGUGGGUUCACUUGUCCACACAUGCUAAAAGCAACAGACGUGGCUCUAGUUAGGAGUUAGGACAAGACGGUGCUACAUUUUAAGUACAUUGAGAAUUUGAGGCUGUGUUUUAAAAUUUGGACCGAACAUCGAAUCAGUGAGAGUAUUGGGUUAUUGGUUCAUUGGUCGAACUAUCGGGUAACUGGUCGAACCAUAUGAUAAUUCGGAUUAAACCGAAUUAAAUCGGUGGAAUGAACCGAUCUCUAUAAUAAAAUUAUAUAGUUAUUAAGUCAGGUUAAACCGGAUGACUCGCUCUCUAAAAAAAUCAUGACACCUAAAAAAUGUGAAAAUUUUAGAAUAUCAUAAUUUCAUAAUUUUAUUCUUUAAAUUUAAAUUAUAAACACGGUCAUCGAUCAUUCACACAUACAAUUAAAUAAUACAAGACAGAAAUUCAAAUAAAUUUUGAACAAAGUCUAAUCGUAACAAAGUCUAUUUCUAUUUUCUAGUUUUAAUAAAAAAAUAAUUGUAUGCAUUAAAUUAAAUUGAAUUGAAUCCAUGACUAUACAUAUAUUUAAUUUUAUUUAAAAAAAACAAUAACAUAUGAAUUUUAAUGUUAAAUAUAAUAAAUUAGAAUUUAAAUAAAAUGAGAGUUGAACAAUUAAAUCAAUAGACAAACAAUAAAUAAAAUUUAAAUAACAUAAAAAAAAUACAAUACAAAUUAAAAUCCAGUUGCAUACAAAAUAAAAUCGAUAGCACAGUGGAGAGGUCAACGAAGAUGAAAUUUAAAUAACAUAAAAAAAUAAAUACUAAAUAAAUAACAUAAAACUUGUUUAAACAUUUAAACAUUUAAAUCUUCAUUCAAAACAUUCAUUCAUGGAGAAGUCAGUUGUUCGAAACCUACUGAUGGCAGCUUUUCUAAAAUUUUUAAACAUUUAAAUCUUCAUUCAAAACAUUCAUUCAUGUAUUUAUUACUUAUAUAAAAAAACGGCAUUUAUUACUAAAAAAACGCACGCGUUUUAAAAAAAAUCCAGAUCCAGGGAGUUAGCAUAUCCGAUCCAACAUCUAGACCAGACUGGUUGACCUCCGAUUUCCGGUUCAACCGGUUCAACCGGCCGGACUACAAUUUUCAAGGCCCAAGCCUCGGGGGAAAAUCGGGUUUGGCGCGCCGGCCCAUUCGGGGGAAAAAUUCAAUAAUAACUAUUAUUAUUAUGCGUUGUUCCGUCCCUAUUAGGUUGCAAAAAAUUAAAACUUGAACUUCUCAUUUUUAUCAAAUAGACAUAAAAAUGGAAACUUUGUUAUCAAACCAGGAAGUUCAAAUUUUUAAGUUGCAAAAAAUUACCUCAAAGUUGAAGAUGUGAAAGAUGAUGGAGAGAAAGGAUGAGUGUUGUUGCUAGUUGAAGAGUCUAAAAGAUAAUGGAGACAAAUGAUAAGUGUUGUUUUUUCUCAAAUCAAAUAAAAAUGUNNNNNNNNNNNNNNNNNNNNNNNNNNNNNNNNNNNNNNNNNNNNNNNNNNNNNNNNNNNNNAUCAAACCUAGUAAGUUCAAAUUUUUAAGUUGCAAAAAAUUAUCUCAAAGUUGAAGAGUGUGAAAGAUGAUGGAGAGAAAGGAUGAGUGUUGUUGCUAGUUGAAGAGUCUGAAAGAUAAUGGAGACAAAGGAUAAAUGUUGUUUUUCCUCAAAUCAAAUAAAAAUGUAAAAUUUGUUAUGAAAAACUCAAAUUUUUCGUGAGAUAAACAGAGCAGAAUGAAGAGAAUGAUACUGAUGAUGAUGAAGAAUGAGUAGUACAGUUGUAGCAGUGUAGCGCAGCUCUCUCAUGCAACCAGUGUUUUAAACAUUUAAAUCUUCAUUCAAAACAUUCAUUCAUGUAUUUAUUACUUAUAUAAAAAAAAGACAUUUAUUAUUAAAAAAAAAAUGCACGCGUUUUAAAAAAAUCCAGAUCCAGCUGUGCGCAUUUAACCCGUCCGGUCUGCAAAACCGUCGAUUCACCGAUUUUCCCGGUUCAUACCGGUUUUCACCGGUUCGUUAGCAUAUCCGAUCCAACAUCUAGACCAGAUCAGUUGACCUCCGAUUUCCGUUCCAACCGGUUCAACCGGCCGAGCUACAAUUUUCAAGGCCCAAGCCUCGGGGGAAAAUCGGGCUUGGCGCGCCGGCCCAUUUUGGGGAAAAAUUCAAUAAUAACUAUUAUUAUUAUGCGUUGUUCCGUCCCACUUAGGUUGCAAAAAAUUAUAACUUGAACUUUUCAUUUUUCUCAAACAGACAUAAAAAUGGAAACUUUGUUAUCAAACUCAAGAAGUUCAAAUUUUUAAGUUGCAAAAAAUUACCUCAAAGUUGAAGAUUGUGAAAGAUGAUGGAGAGAAAGGAUGAGUGUUGUUGCUAGUUGAAGAGUCUGAAAGAUAAUGGAGACAAAUGAUAAGUGUUGUUUNNNNNNNNNNNNNNNNNNNNNNNNNNNNNNNNNNNNNNNNNNNNNNNNNNNNNNNNNNNNNNNNNNNNNNNNNNNNNNNNNNNNNNNNNNNNNNNNNNNNNNNNNNNNNNNNNNNNNNNNNNNNNNNNNNNNNNNNNNNNNNNNNNNNNNNNNNNNNNNNNNNNNNNNNNNNNNNNNNNNNNNNNNNNNNNNNNNNNNNNNNNNNNNNNNNNNNNNNNNNNNNNNNNNNNNNNNNNNNNNNNNNNNNNNNNNNNNNNNNNNNNNNNNNNNNNNNNNNNNNNNNNNNNNNNNNNNNNNNNNNNNNNNNNNNNNNNNNNNNNNNNNNNNNNNNNNNNNNNNNNNNNNNNNNNNNNNNNNNNNNNNNNNNNNNNNNNNNNNNNNNNNNNNNNNNNNNNNNNNNNNNNNNNNNNNNNNNNNNNNNNNNNNNNNNNNNNNNNNNNNNNNNNNNNNNNNNNNNNNNNNNNNNNNNNNNNNNNNNNNNNNNNNNNNNNNNNNNNNNNNNNNNNNNNNNNNNNNNNNNNNNNNNNNNNNNNNNNNNNNNNNNNNNNNNNNNNNNNNNNNNNNNNNNNNNNNNNNNNNNNNNNNNNNNNNNNNNNNNNNNNNNNNNNNNNNNNNNNNNNNNNNNNNNNNNNNNNNNNNNNNNNNNNNNNNNNNNNNNNNCUGAAUAAUGUAAUAAGUAAUUAGCUUUAGUAACCAAUUAAUCAUUUCAUAAAUUAAUCUUUAACAUGUUUCAUAUGAUACUAUAUCGACUUAAAAUUCCAAAAGUCUUAUAUAUAUAAGAUAAUUACACAUGAACAAAAAUUAAAUAGAAAACAAGUUGUGCGCUUAAAAUUUGUUUAAUAAAACCUUACCUCAGCCAUGGAACGAACUUUGAGGCUAGCAUUCCUUCUGAUGUUUGGCAUGUACACAGAAGGGGUGUAGCUAAAUUGGUUAACUCUAGACCUGCUAGAAAUGUUUGUCAUGGAGCUUGACAUGAUAGAUUGAUAAGAUGAAACAGCCAUUGAAAAUAAUUCCUUAAUGUAACACUGAAAAUUCAAGAGACCAAAGUCUUUUAUGAAUAUAUAAAAGACUUAGAUGGUUAAGGUUGGUAGGUAAUAUGCAUUGAAGAAGGUUGUUUAUAUAUAAUAAAAUGAAAAGCAUUGUGAGGGACAUUUGAAUAUAUAUCCACGUAGUGUGUAAAGGUAAGUAUUUUGGUAGUUAUUUAAGUUCCACGUAAUGUGUAAAUGGUCCUAAAGGUUAUUGGUUCAUGUAGGUUCACUUGUCCACACAUGCUAAAAGCAACAGACGUGGCUCUAGUUAGGAGUUAGGACAAGAAGGUGCUACAUUUUACGGACAUUGAGAAUUUGAGGGAGUGUUUUAAAAACUGGAUCGGAUAUCGAACCGGUGAGAGUAUUGGGUCACUGGUUCAUUGGUCGAACCAUCGGGUAACUGGUCGAACCACAUGAUAAUUCGGAUUAAACCAAAUUAAACUGGUGGAAUGAACCGAUCUCUAUAAUAAAAUUAUAUAGUUAUUAAAUCAGGUUAAACCGGAUGACUCGCUCUCUAAAAAAAAUCAUGACACCUAAAAAAUGUGAAAAUAAUACAAGACGGAAAUUAAAUAAUACAAGACGAAAUUCAAAUAAAUUUUGAACAAAGUCUAAUCGUAACAAAGUCUAUUUCUAUUUUCUAGUUUUAAUAAAAAAAUAAUUGUAUGCAUUAAAUUAAAUUGAAUUGAAAUGAUGACUACAUAUAUUUAAUUUUAUUUAAAAAAACAAUAGCAUAUGAAUUUUAAUGUUAAAUAUAAUAAAUUAGAAUUUAAAUAAAAUGAGAGUUGAACAAUUAAAUCAAUAUUACGCAAACAAUAAAUAAAAUUUAAAUAACAUAAAAAAAAUUCAAUACAAAGUAAAAUCCAGUUGCAUACAAAAUAAAAUCGAUAGCAGAGUGGAGAGGUCAACGAAGAUGAAAUUUAAAUAACAAAAAAAUAAAUACUAAAUAAAUAACAUAAAACUUGUUUAAACAUUUAAACAUUUAAACAUUUAAAUCUUCAUUCAAAACAUUCAUUCAUGGAGAGGUCAGUGGUUCGAAACCUACUGAUGCCAGCUUUUCUAAAAUUUUUAAACAUUUAAAUCUUCAUUCAAAACAUUCAUUCAUGUAUUUAUUACUUAUAUAAAAAAAAGGCAUUUAUUACUAAAAAAAUGCACGCGUUUUAAAAAAAAUCCAGAUCCAGCUGUGCGCAUUUAACCCGGCCAGUCUGCAAAACCGUCGAUUCACCGGUUUUCCUGGUUCAUACUGGUUUUCACCGGUUCGUUAGCAUAUCCGAUCCAACAUCUAGACUAAACCGGUUGACCUCCGAUUUCCUGUCCAACCGAUUCAACCGGCCAGGCUACAAUUUUCAAGGCCCAAGCCUCGGGGGAAAAUUGGGCUUGGCGCGCCAGCCCAUUCGGGAGAAAAAUUCAAUAAUAACUAUUAUUAUUAUUAUUAUUAUUAUGCGUUGUUCCGUCCCACUUAGGUUGCAAAAAAUUAUAACUUGAACUUCUCAUUUUUAUCAAACAGACAUAAAAAUGGAAACUUUGUUAUCAAACCCAGGAAGUUCAAAUUUUUAAGUUGCAAAAAAUUACCUCAAAGUUGAAGAUGUGAAAGAUGAUGGAGAGAAAGGAUGAGUGUUGUUGCUAGUUGAAGAGUCUGAAAGAUAAUGGAGACCAAUGAUAAGUGUUGUUUUUUCUCAAAUCAAAUAAAAAUGUAAAAUUUGUUAUCAAACCCAGGAAAGAUGAUGGAGAGAAAGGAUACAGAGCAAUACAGACAUAAAAAUGGAAACUUUGUUAUCAAACCCAGUAAGUUCAAAUUUUUAAGUUGCAAAAAAUUAUCUCAAAGUUGAAGAGCGUGAAAGAUGAUGAAGAGAAAGGAUGAGUGUUGUUGCUAGUUGAAGAGUCUGAAAGAUAAUGGAGACAAAGGAUAAAUGUUGUUUUUUCUCAAAUCAAAUAAAAAUGUAAAAUUUGUUAUGAAAAACUCAAAUUUUUCGUGAGAUAAACAGAGCAGAAUGAAGAGAAUGAUACCGAUGAUGAUGAAGAGUGAGUAGUACAGUUGUAGCAGUGUAGCGCAGCUCUCUCAUGCAACGAGUGUUUUAAACAUUUAAAUCUUCAUUCAAAACAUUCAUUCAUGUUAUAUAAAAAAAGGCAUUUAUUAUUAAAAAAAACGCACGCGUUUUAAAAAAAAUCCAGAUCCAGCUGUGCGCAUUUAACCCGGCCGGUCUGCAAAACCGUCGAUGCACCGGUUUUCCUGGUUCAUAUCGGUUUUCACCGGUUCGUUAGCAUAUCCGAUCCAACAUCUAGACCAGACCGGUUGACCUCCGAUUUUCGUUCCAACCGGUUCAAUCGGUCGGGCUACAAUUUUCAAGGCCCAAGCCUCGGGGGAAAAUCGGGCUUGGCGCGCCGGCCCAUUCUGGGGAAAAAUUCAAUAAUAACUAUUAUUAUUAUGCGUUGUUCCGUCCCAGUUAGGUUGCAAAAAAUUAUAACUUGAACUUCUCAUUUUUCUCAAACAGACAUAAAAAUGGAAACUUUGUUAUCAAACACAGGAAGUUCAAAUGUUUAAGUUGCAAAAAAUUACCUCAAAGUUGAAGAGUGUGAAAGAUGAUGGAGAGAAAGGAUGAGUGUUGUUGCUAGUUGAAGAGUCUGAAAGAUAAUGGAGACAAAUGAUAAGUGUUGUUUUUACACAAAUCAAAUAAAAAUGUAAAAUUUGUUAUGAAACCCAGGAAAGAUGAUGGAGAGAAAGGAUACGAUACAGACAUAAAAAUGGAAACUUUGUUAUCAAACCCAGGAAGUUCAAAUUUUUAAGUUGCAAAAAAUUAUCUCAAAGUUGAAGAGUGUGAAAGAUGAUGGAGAGAAAGGAUGAGUGUUGUUGCUAGUUGAAGAGUCUGAAAGAUAAUGGAGACAAAAGAUAAAUGUUGUUUUUUCUCAAAUCAAAUAAAAAUGUAAAAUUUGUUAUGAAAAGCUCAAAUUUUUCGUGAGAUAAUCAGAGCAGAAUGAAGAGAAUGAUACCGAUGAUGAUGAAGAGUGAGUAGUACAGUUGUAGCAGUGUAGCACAGCUCUCUCAUGCAACCAGUAUUUUGAAAACCGGACCGGACCGGCCGAGUGGCAGCAUGUUGCAUGUUUUACGGAGAGGUCAGUGGUUCGAAACCUACUGAUGCCAGUUUUUCUAAAAUUUUUAAACAUUAAAUCUUCGUUCAAAACAUUCAUUCAUGUAUUUAUUACUUAUAUAAAAAAAAAAGCAUUUAUUACUAAAAAAAACGUGUGCGUUUUAAAAAAAACCAGCUGUGCGCAUUUAACCCGGUCGGUCUGCAAAACCGCCGAUUCACCAGUUUUUACCGGUUCGUUAGCAUAUCUGAUCCAACAUUCAGAUCAGAUCGGUUGACCUCCGGUUUUCGGUCCAACCGGUUCAUUAGUCCCCACAUAAGGAAUUAAACUUAUUGAGGUUGGGCACAUUCCAAGUGGACAACUCUUAAUUAAAACCUCAAUAAGCUUAGUACUGAAGUCAACAUAAUUCGUAACUACAGUUUGAUUGGAUGAUAAAAAUUCUUUAUAUAUGACAAUGUUGUCGACACUUAUCUUAAUCACCUAAUCAAUUCUUUUUCAGGUAAUCACUAUCAAGGUUUUUCUUGUAAGAAAGGGUUGUAUAUGUUUUUGGUCCUUAUAAUAUCUCAAAUUUUAUUUUUAGUCCCCAUAAAAUUUUUGAACAACUUUUGGUCCCUAAAGUAUUUCCUAUCAUGAUUUUUGGUCCUUACUUUUCAUUCAACUCGUGCAUAUCAUUCGAAAUUUUAAAUUUUUUCGUGCGGUUAUGUUUAGUACAUUAUAUGAAUCUCUCUUGCAAAAAUUUAAUUUUUUUUUAUCAAGAAAUGAAUUAAAUAUAAUUUUUUUUAAUAGUUUUUUGCACAUAAAAAUUAAUAAAUAAUUCAUCUUAUGGGUUAAAAAAAUUAUAAUUUAUAACAUGCAUAAGGAAUUAAACUUAUGUGGAUCUUGCACAAUAAGCUUUUGAAUUAUCUUACAAAGAAGCAUUUAUAAUGUCAAAAUACAACCUCUAUUUCCAUAAUAGAUUGUUCAAUAGUUUGUGUUCAAAUUGAGAGUAUAUGGAGAGAACAAUUACAUUGUCUCUCCCUCUUGAAAAUGGAAGAAAUACCUCAAAGAAAAAACUACAUAAAAAUCCUAUAGACGUUAAUUAUAUCCCUAUAUAAGUCAAUUACACAAGGGAUGUACCCUUAACAUAUUCAGUAAAAGCCAAAGCAAUCAAACCCAACAUAGCAAUUCUUCCAUUCCACAACUCUGCAUCUGAAGACAUGACACCUUUUGACUUAGAUUCAACACUAACACCUUGGAAAAAUGGAAUCAAUGAAGCAAGUGACAACACCACACUUGUUCCCAAGAACCAUGGAACUCCACCACCAGAUAUUUGUUCAAACAAACCCUGUCCUUUUGCUAUCUCCACCCCCAUUGCAGCUACAAAACCAAUCAUAGCCAACCUUCCAUUAAUCCUUUCAGGUGCUGGCCCACCAAAAGCCAUCAAGUCCGAAAAUUUUGUGCUUAUCUGUCAUGAUAUAAUAAACAUUAAUCAUCAAAAGGGUCACAUAAAUUUUGACCAAAAUUAAUACUUUUUCAUGCAGUUCAGAAAGAAAAAAAAAAUUCAUUUUUUUUUACUACUAGUCUACUACUACUAUGCUCACCUUUGGUGAACGAGUAUAGGUUGGUUUUGGUGGUGGUGUAACUGGUGUUGGUGUAAUUGGGUCUACAGGAACCUUUGGUUGCUCUUUCUGCUCUUCCUGAAUAACAUAUCAAAAAAUUAUUAUUAAUUAAAGUAACAAUAAUAACUACUAUACAACUAUCUCUGACCCCUCCCUCACGUUAGUCGGUUCUUGGGCCGAAUACUACUGAGUUUUCAAAAAAGAGAUCAAAUAUGCACAUAUGAACAAAAUACUAUAAUAUAUAACCUUAAAAUUUGUUUUUAUAAAACAUGAAUUACCUCAGCCAUAGAUCGAACUUUGAAGCUAGCAUUCCUUCUCAUGUUUGGCAUGUAGACAGAAGGGAUGUUGCUAAAUUGGUUAACUCUAGACCUGCUAGAAAUGCUGGUCAUGGAGCUUGACAUGAUAGAUUGAUAAGAUGAAACAGCCAUUGAUAAUUGUUCCUUAAUCUUACAAUGGUAAACUUAAGAGACUAAAGAUUUUUUGAAGAUAGAUAGGAUAGCUUUGUGAAUCUCACUGAACUUAGAUGGUUAAGGUUGGUAGGUUUAGC